Molecule: long non-coding RNA, 762 nt
Organism: Oncorhynchus masou masou (cherry salmon)
Lineage: Eukaryota; Metazoa; Chordata; Actinopteri; Salmoniformes; Salmonidae
Exons: 4
Source: RefSeq, a predicted model, not a curated record
AAAAAACUAAAUAUGAUGACAGACUAAUCUGGGAAGUGAACGAGACGGGGUUAAAACGAAGACAACAGUGAAUCUGAUAGGAACACCCCAUCUACCCCAUCCAGUAACCCCAGCCCUCCACUCUCCACUCUCCCUCUUUCUCUCCCUCCCCCCGGGUAACCGAACCCAGGGGCCCCCGGAGGCCCUUUUUGUGCCUGGAGGAGAGGCUUGGUGCUGGCUCGCCUGCUGAAGAGAGAGAGGGUGGUCAGAGAGCAGGAUGGAGAGAAGGAUGAAGAUGGGGGAGGAGAGAGAGAGGCGGAGCUGCAUCUGGACGCUUUGUCGCCUAUGUCUCGGAUCUACCUGCACCUGCAAAUCUCCUGGAACAGUUACAUUAUAAGGUCGACGUUGCUGUUGGACCCCCUCUACAGAAGGAGAUGCAAUGUCAUGUUGAACACCUCAAUACAGAAACAACCCCCAAUUAGGUACUUUCCAAUACCGUUCCCCAAAUCAGCCAACAUGUUGUUCCUUGGUCACUCACUCCCCUGUCGGUGUGUAGUUGGGAGCGUACAGCCCACCUGUUCCACCAGCUAAGUGGUGAUUUGCUUGAGGAGGGCAUCAGUCUGGAGAGCCUAUAUCUGCUCCUCCAGGAGCUCUGCAAUGCAGCAUCACCUGCAGGAAACUCUUCUGGAGGAUGCUGGAACAGGCUGGAGACCAACACAGCAUACAGCCUACUGUGGGUGACACUGUGUGUGUGUGGGUGUGUGUGAGCACAAAGCUGACAGC